AACGCGAAGAACCUUACCUGGAUUUGACAUCCACUGACAGUCCUAGAAGUAGGAUCUUCCCUUCGGGGACAGUGAGACAGGUGCUGCAUGGCUGUCGUCAGCUCGUAUCGUGAGAUGUCGGGUUAAGUCCCUUAACGAGCGCAACCCUUAUCCCUAGUUGCCAUCAUUCAGUUGGGCACUCUAAGGAGACCGCCGGUGUUAAACCGGAGGAAGGUGGGGAUGACGUCAAGUCCUCAUGGCCCUUAUAUCCAGGGCUACACACGUGCUACAAUGGCCGAUACAGAGGGCUGCUAACCCGUAAGGGGGAGCUAAUCUCAGAAAGUCGGUCUCAGUUCGGAUUGAAGUCUGCAACUCGACUUCAUGAAGCUGGAAUCGCUAGUAAUCGCGGAUCAGAACGCCGCGGUGAAUACGUUCCCGGGCCUUGUACACACCGACAUA
RNAcentral lists this ribosomal RNA (438 nucleotides) under uncultured bacterium. RNAcentral's name for it is "bacterial SSU rRNA". It matches the Rfam family "Bacterial small subunit ribosomal RNA", at positions 958 to 1397 of the family's 1533-position model. The record is from RNAcentral.